RNAcentral lists this unclassified non-coding RNA (349 nucleotides) under soil metagenome. Its description in RNAcentral is "partial contains 5.8S ribosomal RNA, internal transcribed spacer 2, and large subunit ribosomal RNA". The stretch from base 1 to 120 matches the Rfam family "5.8S ribosomal RNA", at positions 35 to 154 of the family's 154-position model. The record is from RNAcentral.
GAUGAAGAACGCAGCGAAAUGCGAUAAGUAGUGUGAAUUGCAGAAUUCAGUGAAUCAUCGAGUCUUUGAACGCACAUUGCGCCCCCUGGUAUUCCGGGGGGCAUGCCUGUCCGAGCGUCAUUGCUGCCCUCAAGCACGGCUUGUGUGUUGGGCCUCCGCCCCCCGGCUCCCGGGGGGCGGGCCCGAAAGGCAGCGGCGGCACCGCGUCCGGUCCUCGAGCGUAUGGGGCUUCGUCACCCGCUCCGUAGGCCCGGCCGGCGCCCGCCGGCGACCCCCCUCAAUCUUUCCAGGUUGACCUCGGAUCAGGUAGGGAUACCCGCUGAACUUAAGCAUAUCAAUAAGCGGAGGA